Molecule: ribosomal RNA, 497 nt
Filed under: uncultured bacterium
Lineage: Bacteria
Description: partial 16S ribosomal RNA
Rfam family: Bacterial small subunit ribosomal RNA
Source: RNAcentral
GAUGAACGCUGGCGGCGUGCCUAAUACAUGCAAGUCGAGCGAACGGACGAGAAGCUUGCUUCUCUGAUGUUAGCGGCGGACGGGUGAGUAACACGUGGAUAACCUACCUAUAAGACUGGGAUAACUUCGGGAAACCGGAUCUAAUACCGGAUAAUAUUUUGAACCGCAUGGUUCAAAAGUGAAAGACGGUCUUGCUGUCACUAAUAGAUGGAUCCGCGCUGCAUUAGCUAGUUGGUAAGGUAACGGCUUACCAAGGCAACGAUGCAUAGCCGACCUGAGAGGGUGAUCGGCCACACUGGAACUGAGACACGGUCCAGACUCCUACGGGAGGCAGCAGUAGGGAAUCUUCGGCAAUGGGCGAAAGCCUGACGGAGCAACGCCGCGUGAGUGAUGAAGGUCUUCGGAUCGUAAAACUCUGUUAUUAGGGAAGAACAUAUGUGUAAGUAACCGUGCACAUCUUGACGGUACCUAAUCAGAAAGCCACGGCUAACUACGUG